GGUGAGGAACAUGAGGCUUUAAAGAAGAAAUAUCAAGAAGAAUGACAUGUUUUGAAUUACUGUUGUUUUUUUGCAACUGGUGAUGAAUAUGGAAAUAGCAAGAUGGUGAUUGUAGCUGCAACACCAACUAAGAAUCCUUUUUAGGCCUCCAGAGUGUAUGAAGUUUACAACUUUGGUUGCUUGGUUCCUCUUCCGUGCGUGAAAGGAAGGGCGAGGAGAAGGAACACUAACUGCUGGCGGCGGAUAGGAAGAAAGGGCGCAGAUGGUGACCAAAUUAGACGACGAGAGACCAGGAUACUUGAUAUCAACAAUAUGAAGCUACAUGUCUAAACGAUGCUUUUAGUAAUUAUUUUUUCAUACAUAAAAUGUUUCAGGUCGACAACCCAUACUUCCAUAGCUCUAACAUAGAGAUUGCUAAUGGAUUGACAUCUCUAGACUUACUCUCUAAUUAAACAUAAUAAUCAGAGUGAUGGAAGAAGGGGUAUUAUGUCUUGAAUAGAGUUUGGCUCAACUUGGAUAGUUGUUGGGUACUGCAAUCGUUGUUUUUUCAGCGGUCACGGAAGUUUCAACCUCCAUUCUUUUCGAUUGCUACAGGUCUCCGCACUCAAAGGAAGUAUAUGCGGUGUCAAUUGUUGGGUGGCAUUACAGAUGUUUGUUGUUUUGCCUUGAGAGUUAUGUUGAUGAAUCAAGGUGAGCUUGAUCCAAAUAGUGAUAAUGAGCAAAGAAUUGGCCGGUAUUUUGAAGUCAUGGGAAGUAAAAUUUAAGAAAUCACAAGCAUUCUAAGGAAAAGGGCGGUCAUCAUUUUCACAACAAUUCUUUGACUGCAUGAGUUCAUAUUAUAUUAUACAUAUAAUUAUAAAUAAAACUUUCUUCAUUA
Molecule: long non-coding RNA, 877 nt
Organism: Helianthus annuus (common sunflower)
Lineage: Eukaryota; Viridiplantae; Streptophyta; Magnoliopsida; Asterales; Asteraceae
Exons: 5
Source: RefSeq, a predicted model, not a curated record